This 1299-nucleotide long non-coding RNA is filed under the name Apteryx haastii (Great spotted kiwi). RNAcentral's name for it is "lncRNA (ENSAHAG00000018921.1)". The record is from RNAcentral. Lineage: Eukaryota; Metazoa; Chordata; Aves; Apterygiformes; Apterygidae.
AUGCACCAGUACAGGCUGGGGGUUGACCUGCUGGAAAACAGCCCUGCAGAGAAUGACCUGGGGGUCCUGGUGGACAAGUUGACUAUGAGGCAGCAAUGUGCCCUUGUGGCCAAGAAGGCCAAUGGUCUCCUGGGGGGGUGCAUCAGGAAGAGCAUUGCCAGCAGGUGGAGGGAGGUGAUCCUCCCCCUCUACUCAGCCCUGGUGAGGCCCCAUCUGGAGUACUGCGUCCAGUUCUGGGCUCCGCAGUACAAGAGGGAUGUGGCACUACUGGAACAAGUCCAGCGAAGGGCUACAAAGAUGAUUAGGGGACUGGAGCAUCUCUCCUCUGAGGAAAGGCUGAGAGAGCUUGGCCUGUUUAGGCUGGAGAAGAGAAGGCUGAGAGGAGAUCUUAUUAANGAGAUGGUGGAGUUCAGGAUGCUGCGAGGAGGAGGCAGGGCCAUAAGCAGGAUCGCAACCCUGGACUUCAGCAGAGCAAACUUUGGCCUCUUCAGGGACCUACUUGAAGGAAUCCCAUGGGUUAGGGCCCUAGAAGGAGCGGGGGUUGCCCAAGAGAGCUGGUUAAUAGUCAAGCAUCACUUCCUGCAAGCUCAAGAUUGGAGCAUCCCUAUGAGUAAGAAGGCAAGCAAAGGAGGCAGGAGSCCURCAUGGCUGAGCAAGGAGCUCCUGGCAAAACUCAACCAGAAGAAGGAGGUAUACAGAAAGUGGAAAGGGGGACAGGCCACUUGGGAGGACYAUAGGAACGUUGUCAGAGUAUGCAGGGAUGCAACGAGGAAGGCUAAGGCCCAUUUGGAAUUAAAUCUGGCAAGGGAUGUCAAGGACARCAAGAAGGGCUUCUUCAAAUACCUCAGUAACAAAAGGAAGACUAGAGAGAAUGUGGGCCCGCUGCUGAAUGGGGUGAGUGCCCUGGUGAUGAAGGGUACAGAGAAGGCAGAGUUACUGAAUGUCUUCUCUGCGUCAGUCUUUCCUGCUCAGGCCAGCCCUCAGGAAUGCCAGACCCUGGAGGCAAGAGAGAAAGUCUGGAGAAAGGAAGACUUUCCCUUAGUCGAGGAGGAUGGGGUUAGAGAUCAUUUAGUCAAACGUGACACCCACAAAUCCAUGGGCCCUGAUGGGAUGCACCCACGAGUGCUGAGGGAGCUGGCGGAUGUUAUUGCUAGGCCACUCUCCAUCAUCUUUGCAAGGUCCUGGAGAACAGGAGAGGUGCCUGAAGUCUGGAAGAAGGGUAAUGUCACUCCAGUCUUCAAAAAGGGCAAGAAGGAAAGUACAGGCCAGUCAGGCUCACCUCCAUCCCUGGAAAGGUGA